AUGGACAUGCCAAAGGAUGAAAGUGAGAAUGGGAAUAAUGACAAUGAAGAACAAGCUUCAAAGGUGAUGCUGGUUGGUUCAUAUGUGAGUACACCCAAGCGCAAACAUGCACUCCAAUUGCAAGAUUAUGUGGGCAAGCACCAUGUUCAGAUUCGCCUGGACCUGGGCAGCGUGGGCACAUUCAUUGGCAUGGAUAUGGCUGCAUGGCUCCACUGCAAGAUCCAGUUGUGCCCUCCUGCACAGCUCAUCGUGGAAAAUGGCGCUCAGUUUCUUGUGACACCUAUGCGCCCCAGCUGGAAUGGUCUGUGCAUGGCCACAAAUCCGUAG
Molecule: ribosomal RNA, 327 nt
Filed under: Triticum aestivum (bread wheat)
Lineage: Eukaryota; Viridiplantae; Streptophyta; Magnoliopsida; Poales; Poaceae
Description: partial small subunit ribosomal RNA
Source: RNAcentral